Ananas comosus (pineapple) is the source of this 583-nucleotide long non-coding RNA. RefSeq lists it as uncharacterized. The transcript is spliced from 2 exons. The record is from RefSeq and is a predicted model, not a curated record. NCBI's taxonomy places the organism in Eukaryota, Viridiplantae, Streptophyta, Magnoliopsida, Poales, Bromeliaceae.
CCGAUCGGGAGCUGCUGCCGGCGGACGCGAACAUCUCCUCCGGAAUGGGCACCUCCAGCACCGUGUCCAGCGCAUCUUCUCUCUCCAGAUUCGGGCACAGCUUCCUCAUCGAAACGAGGAGCUGCCACCCACCCACCCUAGCUAGCUUGGUGGACUCCAUGCACUAUGAUCGGAAGAGAAAGAGAAAGGGAUAGAGAGAGAGAAAGAGAGAGAGAGAGAAUGAAGGGGGCAUGCAAUUAAUCAGAAUGCAGCUGGCGCACAGUUAGAAUUUGAGGCGGAUCAUCAGUCAUUCUCUUUAGUCGUCGUGGCCGCACGCACGCACGCACGCUCUCCUUCCCUCCCUCUUUCUCUCUUUUCUUUUCUUUUUUCUCUUUUUAUUUAUUUAUUUAUUUAUUUUCCUUCCGUCAAUUUUUCAAAACCUCCUCCCCCCCAAAACCAAAAAAAAAAAAAGAAAAAGAGAGAAAGCCUUAUGUUGAAUGUAAAUUAUUCAAAAUUUUAGUUUCUUUAAAAAAAAAAUUAAAAAAAAGAGAGAAAUGAUCGAUUGUUAUAACUAUACAACUAAAACAGUAUUUGUUUCCGGUUC